RNAcentral lists this transfer RNA (67 nucleotides) under Propsilocerus akamusi. RNAcentral's name for it is "tRNA-His". Lineage: Eukaryota; Metazoa; Arthropoda; Insecta; Diptera; Chironomidae. The record is from RNAcentral.
GUUUAAAUAGUUUAUUUAAAAUAUUGAUUUGUGGUGUCAAAGAUAUGAUUAUUAAUCAUUUUAGACC